AAAUGCGACCAACGUUUCUAUAAAAUUAUUUUUACCCGAAUAGGGACAACCUUCAGAUUGUACCUAUUUUCUACCGCACUUGAAUAGAUCCAACUUAUUUGAUAUUUUGAUUACUCCUAAAAUAGAUAAUGAAUCAUAAUAUUUCCCAACAUCAAUACUAAAAAUAAUAAUAAAAAAAAAAAAAUCGUUAGAUUAAGCGACCUCUAUCGGUUAUCAUUCAUUUCCUCACUUUCAGCUGCUGAAAUUCGUUACUUUUCGUUAGUGUUCCUCAAAUUCAUUCUUAAAUCACGUUUCCAACUCCAGAUGUUUCCCGGUUCGGCGGAUUGUACUUGUUGAUCGGAUGGAUUCAUGCUGCUCUAGUAAUAGGUGCUACUACAACAUAUAUAUUUUUACUGUGAGGUAGGAAAUGAGGCUACUUGCUUAUAAGCUCAACCAAUGUCUUGAAAGAUGCAGCAGAACUGGACGGAUAACCACCCUCAAAGAUGCCUCUCAAGGCAAUUGCUCGAUUGCGAACUUCUCCAUCAUCCAUCAGCAGGUUAAUUCCUUGAUUUAUAUCAAACUUCUUCACCAUUUCUGAUUCAUCGUCUAUACCAGCAAUCAUGUGGCCAACAUUAUGAUACUUGACCACCAACUUGGCAUUGUAAAAUUGGUCCCCCCUGAUCGGCCAGGCCAAAAAUGGGAUGCCGCAAGCGAUUGCCUCCACCGUCGAAUUCCACCCACAGUGCGACAACAUUCCUCCCGUUGAGGGAUGACUGAGUAUUGAUAGCUGUGGUGCCCAUCCCUUUAUGAUAAGGCCUCUAUUCCCAACUCUUUCUUCCAAGCCAUGGGGCUGAUACCCUUCUUCUUUAGAUUCUGACAUGGCUCUGCCGCCAGAAAUGCUGACAGGCGGGCCGGGCUGUCCAGCUCCCGGCUUGAUGACCCAUAUAAAUGAUUUGUCCGUCUCCGCCAAUGCCUCUGCCAACUGAUCAAACUCUUCCAGAGAUGGACCAACCGCAGUACCAAAUGACACAUAUAUGACAGAAUGACGUGGCUUCGAAUCGAGCCAUUGGAUCACCUCAUCUUCUGUGUAGUUCGUUUCACGGUUCAGCCUACUAUCCCUAUCAUGAACAACCGAACCGAUUGAUUUCCAGAAUGUCUCCGGCAAUAAUGGACCCACGCCGAAAACAGGCUUCUCCACUUGGCCCGUAAGGUACUUGAGAAAUGGUGCUUCAAGACCAUCACAAGUGUUGAUUAACACAGCAGUAGAGCCUUCAGUCUCAUCCAUCCAGCGUGUGGACUCUCUGGGCCCCCUGCCUCCACCUCCAUCUCUAUCUCCACCUCUACCUCCACAUCUACCUCCACCUCCACCUCCACCUCCACCUCUAUGUCCUCUACUUCCAUCUCCACCUCCAUCUCCACCUCCACCUCUAUGUCCUCUACUUCCAUCUCCACCUCUAUGUCCUCUACCUCUAGGUCCUCUACCUCCUCUAGGUCCUCUACCUCCGCCAUGCUCAUGCCGCCGGCGAUCCUGUCUCUUCGUAUCCGAAUAGCUCAGGGCCAUGCUCUCUGGCAGCCCAGGUAGUUUUUGGGCCUGGUCGGGCCCGAUAUUUUCUACGUGAACUUUCCAUGCAGCAUACUCCAUAGCAGCUGAGCAAGCGCCAGAAGUGAAGAAGGACACAAUGGGAAUGUUUGCUUUCUUGAAAAUGUCUUUGGUCCAGCUCAUCAUCACGUCCAUCACCACGAAUGCAGGCCGGACCUUCUCGUACCUUUCAGAGAGGAAUGAUUCGAUCCCCUGUGCCAGCUGGUGGUGGUGGUGGAGGCCCGGUUUGGUACCCGGUCUAGACCAAUCUCCAUCGGAAGCAUCCGGUGGCAGUGUCGUCUCCGGCGGAGGGGACGAAGACGAUGAUUCGAUUUGGACGAUUUCGACUGAAGGGUGGUGGGGGAGAUCGGAAGGAAUGGAGGAGGAGAGAUGAGAAGGGAUGAUGAAGAUUGAGUUGCAGUUGUGAGAGGAUAAGUGUUUGCAGAGCUCAGCACAUGGAAAGAGAUGGCCUUGUCCGAAAAAUGGCAGCACCAAUAUAUCUGUUGUUGCACUUGCACCUUCCAUUUCUUGCUUAAUUUUCCUAUUCUUUACAAUUCUUGACUGCUAUAUAUAUAUGUUCUUCUCUACACACGCGUACGUGUUUGCGUGUGUGGACGCGAUACAGCAUGACAAAUGUGUAAACAUUCUUGACUUGGAGGUUAAGUAAAUAGGUUGAUGAAAACCAA
This is a long non-coding RNA of Salvia miltiorrhiza (redroot sage), 2244 nucleotides long. RefSeq lists it as uncharacterized. The record is from RefSeq and is a predicted model, not a curated record. Lineage: Eukaryota; Viridiplantae; Streptophyta; Magnoliopsida; Lamiales; Lamiaceae. The transcript has 3 exons.